UACGUAGGGGGCAAGCGUUGUCCGGAAUCAUUGGGCGUAAAGCGCGUGUAGGCGGCCAGGUAAGUCCGUUCUGAAAGCCCGGGGCUCAACCCCGGGAGGCGGAUGGAUACUGCUUGGCUCGAGUCCGGAAGAGGUGAGUGGAAUUCCCGGUGUAGCGGUGAAAUGCGCAGAUAUCGGGAGGAACACCAAUGGCGAAGGCAGCUCACUGGGACGGUACUGACGCUGAGACGCGAAAGCGUGGGGAGCA
This 247-nucleotide ribosomal RNA is filed under the name uncultured bacterium. RNAcentral's name for it is "partial 16S ribosomal RNA". It matches the Rfam family "Bacterial small subunit ribosomal RNA", at positions 524 to 770 of the family's 1533-position model. The record is from RNAcentral.